Molecule: ribosomal RNA, 253 nt
Filed under: uncultured bacterium
Lineage: Bacteria
Description: partial 16S ribosomal RNA
Rfam family: Bacterial small subunit ribosomal RNA
Source: RNAcentral
UACGUAGGGUGCGAGCGUUGUCCGGAAUUAUUGGGCGUAAAGAGCUUGUAGGCGGUUUGUCGCGUCUGCUGUGAAAAUCCGGGGCUCAACCCCGGACUUGCAGUGGGUACGGGCAGACUAGAGUGUGGUAGGGGAGACUGGAAUUCCUGGUGUAGCGGUGAAAUGCGCAGAUAUCAGGAGGAACACCGAUGGCGAAGGCAGGUCUCUGGGCAACUACUGACGCUGAGAAGCGAAAGCAUGGGGAGCGAACAGG